GACGAACGCUGGCGGCGUGCUUAACACAUGCAAGUCGAACGGAAAGGCCCUGCUUUUGUGGGGUGCUCGAGUGGCGAACGGGUGAGUAACACGUGAGUAACCUGCCCUUGACUUUGGGAUAACUUCAGGAAACUGGGGCUAAUACCGGAUAGGAGCUCCUGCUGCAUGGUGGGGGUUGGAAAGUUUCGGCGGUUGGGGAUGGACUCGCGGCUUAUCAGCUUGUUGGUGGGGUAGUGGCUUACCAAGGCUUUGACGGGUAGCCGGCCUGAGAGGGUGACCGGCCAAAUUGGGCAGAGGGAAGGGCCAGGACCCCACCGGGGGGGAGAGGGGGGGAAUUUUGCACAGUGGGCGGAAGCCUGAUGCAGCAACGCCGGGGGCGGGAUGACGGCCUUCGGGUUGUAAACCGCUUUCGCCUGUGACGAAGGGUGGGUGACGGUAAUGGGUAAAGAAGCACCGGCUAACUACGG
This 467-nucleotide ribosomal RNA is filed under the name uncultured bacterium. RNAcentral describes it as "partial 16S ribosomal RNA". It matches the Rfam family "Bacterial small subunit ribosomal RNA", at positions 28 to 506 of the family's 1533-position model. The record is from RNAcentral.